RNAcentral lists this ribosomal RNA (450 nucleotides) under uncultured bacterium. RNAcentral's name for it is "partial 16S ribosomal RNA". It matches the Rfam family "Bacterial small subunit ribosomal RNA", at positions 354 to 796 of the family's 1533-position model. The record is from RNAcentral.
GUGGGGAAUUUUGGACAAUGGGCGCAAGCCUGAUCCAGCAAUGCCGCGUGCAGGAAGAAGGCCUUCGGGUUGUAAACUGCUUUUGUACGGAACGAAACGGUCCUGGUUAAUACCUGGGGCUAAUGACGGUACCGUAAGAAUAAGCACCGGCUAACUACAUGCCAGCAGCCGCGGUAAUACGUAGGGUGCGAGCGUUAAUCGGAAUUACUGGGCGUAAAGCGUGCGCAGGCGGUGCUGUAAGACAGGCGUGAAAUCCCCGGGCUCAACCUGGGAAUUGCGCUUGUGACUGCAGUGCUGGAGUACGGCAGAGGGGGAUGGAAUUCCGCGUGUAGCAGUGAAAUGCGUAGAUAUGCGGAGGAACACCGAUGGCGAAGGCAGUCCCCUGGGCCUGUACUGACGCUCAUGCACGAAAGCGUGGGGAGCAAACAGGAUUAGAUACCCGUGUAGUCC